GCACAUCACCACUUUUUUUUUAAUUUUUUCCUAAAGUGGUGAAGUUUUGUUGCGUUCAUCCUCAUUGUAAAAUUUUUGUAAUGUGCAAUUUAAUGCACCGAACGUGCUGAACGCCAGCCAAAAAAGAGAACCGGAUACGCAGGGCGGCCGGCUAAAUUUUAAAAAGUGAUGCCAAGUUUCAUGUUGUGUAUUGUACAACAUGAGAGACGUGUUGCAAAAAUACAACACUGGGGAUAAUAGUGGGUAGGUAGAACACCUGAUAAAGGUAAAUAAUAAAUGUCAGGGAAAUUGUGGGAAAAUCUUGGAAAAGAGGGAAAGUUUGGUUGAGCGUCCUUGGUGGCCGUAUAUAAAGCACAGAGAGGGCUAAAAGCGCCAUUAUUUCAAAGUGGUGUGGAACAGAAACAGUUCAGUCAAUUUUUAAAUGUUUUUUUUUGUGAAUAGAAAAAGGAAAUACUAAAUUGGCAGUUACAAUUUGUGUGUUUUAUUGUUUUAUUUGUGUGGCGUAUCUAAACAAUUUGAAUAACGCCGCGCAUAAAUCCACAAUUGGACAACGCCAUCCGACUUGGACGAAAAAGAAGCGGGCAUCCCCAACAAUUAUUUUUGUAUCGCCAGGUGCGGCACAGGGGUUCCAGGCAACGAAAAGGUUCUGGAAACGGCCAAAAGACCUGGGAAACUGCCAGUGGAUAACACUUGGAACAGGCAACAUUACCAAUCCGGGAAGCUAACCAGUAGAUCCCACAUAAAAAUC
This is a long non-coding RNA of Musca domestica (house fly), 748 nucleotides long. RefSeq lists it as uncharacterized. The record is from RefSeq and is a predicted model, not a curated record. Lineage: Eukaryota; Metazoa; Arthropoda; Insecta; Diptera; Muscidae. The transcript is spliced from 2 exons.